GCCUACGGGAGGCUGCAGUGGGGAAUAUUGGACAAUGGGCGCAAGCCUGAUCCAGCCAUGCCGCGUGAGUGAUGAAGGCCCUAGGGUUGUAAAGCUCUUUCACCGGUGAAGAUAAUGACGGUAACCGGAGAAGAAGCCCCGGCUAACUUCGUGCCAGCAGCCGCGGUAAUACGAAGGGGGCUAGCGUUGUUCGGAAUUACUGGGCGUAAAGCGCACGUAGGCGGAUUGUUAAGUUAGGGGUGAAAUCCCAGGGCUUAACCCUGGAACUGCCUCUAAUACUGGCAAUCUUGAGUUCGAGAGAGGUGAGUGGAAUUCCGAGUGUAGAGGUGAAAUUCGUAGAUAUUCGGAGGAACACCAGUGGCGAAGGCGGCUCACUGGCUCGAUACUGACGCUGAGGUGCGAAAGCGUGGGGAGCAAACAGGAUUAGAUACCCUAGUAGUCG
This 442-nucleotide ribosomal RNA is filed under the name uncultured bacterium. RNAcentral describes it as "bacterial SSU rRNA". It matches the Rfam family "Bacterial small subunit ribosomal RNA", at positions 337 to 796 of the family's 1533-position model. The record is from RNAcentral.